UACGUAGGGUGCAAGCGUUAAUCGGAAUUACUGGGCGUAAAGGGCGCGUAGGCGGCCACUGCAAGUCAGUUGUGAAAUCUCCGGGCUUAACCCGGAAAGGUCAACUGAUACUGCAGGGCUAGAGUGCAGAAGGGGCAACUGGAAUUCUCGGUGUAGCGGUGAAAUGCGUAGAUAUCGAGAGGAACACCUGCGGCGAAGGCGGGUUGCUGGGCUGACACUGACGCUGAGGCGCGAAAGCCAGGGGAGCGAACGGG
This 254-nucleotide ribosomal RNA is filed under the name uncultured bacterium. Its description in RNAcentral is "partial 16S ribosomal RNA". It matches the Rfam family "Bacterial small subunit ribosomal RNA", at positions 524 to 776 of the family's 1533-position model. The record is from RNAcentral.